This is a non-coding RNA of Manis javanica (Malayan pangolin), 799 nucleotides long. The record is from RefSeq and is a predicted model, not a curated record. NCBI's taxonomy places the organism in Eukaryota, Metazoa, Chordata, Mammalia, Pholidota, Manidae.
GUGCUUGGCCCUUAACAUUUCUUGUUUGCAUGAGUUUGAAUUGAUGCCACUUUCAACAGUCUACUCAAAGGGUGCCUAGGCAAGAUUGCAAGUAAAAGACUUCAGACUCAAUCAAAAAAACUUAUUUAAACCUGCCUUUCUCCAUAUUUCUUGACACCUUCUGCAGAAUAAGUGCAAACUAAACUGGUGUGAAUUCAAGGAUGCCUCGUAGUUUUCAAGACAAAGUUCAUACAGCAUAAUUUAAUCCCAGUGACCUCCAUCUGCCUCUGAUGAUAAUUUCAAUCUCCUGAAACCUUCUCAGAUAAUAACUACUAACAUUGAUUCUGUGCUUGCUUUUUGCGGUAACUAUUCUGAGCAAUUUGUCAGAAUUAAAUGCGAUUACAUAGGCAACAAUCCCAGGAAGGACUGAGACCCAGAAUGUGAAGAAGUUGCCCAGGGCCACCCAGCUGGUGUGUCCCCUUUCUGAGUCUUACUCAUCUUGCGAAGCAGUUCAAGACGAGCAGCCUUAUGGUACUGGAAACAGCUCAAAGAACAGGAUUGGCAAAACCUACUAUCCAGUGUUCAGGUCAACCAUUGGACUUACUUUGGGAGGAGUAAGUGAAAUGAAAGCAAGCAGAGGUUUUUGCUUCUCUCCGCACAUAUUUUCCUAAAAAUUAAAAUUUCCAAGCUCUUUGUGCUUGGCUAAAUCCAUUGGAUUUCAAAGGUUUAUAUUAAAUUUCAGGAUUAAAAUGAUUUGUGGAUGGGGGUGUGUUUGACAUCUAAGUUAUUUCUUUUACUUGUCAAAUAUGGGGAAGAAAGG